UUUUUUUUUUCUAUUUAGGCCAUAUAUUUACAGAAAUAUAAAUAAAUAAAUAUGAAGAUAUUUUUAAAUUGGUGUGCCUGCUUUAAGCUCUUCGGGGGUUUCGUGCUUGUCCAUAAGUACACAUAACUGUGAGCCAUGAGGGCGAUACCCAUGUGUGCUCUGUUGGUGCUCCUCUCUGCUACUGCUCCCCACUCAACUUCCACACACUCUCCAAGUGGGGUGAUGGGAAGUCCCCUUGUGUGGAUACAUACCUUUUAAACAAAAAAAGUGUUCUGGGUCCUUGAAGAUUAAUUACUGCCUAAGAAAGAUAUUUGAGAUGUGUAUACUAAUAUCAGAAGAAAUCUGAAUUUUGUGGAAAGGAAUUACCCAAAAACAGUAAAAAAAAAAAAAAAUAGUUCAUGUUUAAUUAAUUUUUUGGCCACACCUUUGGCAUGUGAAAGUUCCCAUGCCAGGGACUAAACCUGCACCAGAACAGUAGCCAGAGCCACAGCUGUGGCAAUGCCCAACCUUUAACCUGCUGAGUCACUAGGGAACCCCCUAAUUAACUUGGGUUUUAAUUCACCCUUUGAAGGAGUGAUGAAGAUUUAGAUAAAGGAGGAAGGAAAAACUGAACAGGGCUCUGGAAUGUCACAGCUUGAGGGGAAAGGGACAGUCAGAAUGAUGGUUCAUUUCCUGGGGAGAAAGAAAUUAAAGCAAGACGAAAAUUUAUAGAGUUGAGAGUGAAAGAGAGAAAUGUCAACGAAGGUAAAUUGCUAUUUACAAAAGAAAUGAUGGUUAUACAAGUGAGAUAAACAAAAUUUUGACAAUUCUAAAUUGAUUUUUGAAAGGUGCUUCUUUUUUUUUUUUAACAGUGGCACAAGAUACUUUCCUCAAAAUAGUGUUCCCUACAAGACAAGUAGAAUGAGUAAUUAAGUGACGAAAAAUAAUAGUAAGUAUACUUAUUAAGGGUGGAGUUUUAGGGAGUUCCCAUUGUGGCUCAGUGGGAAAAAAAUCUGUCUCAUAUGCCUGAGGUUGCAGGGUCGAUACCUGGCCUUGUUCAGUGGGUUAAGAAUUCGGCAUUGCCAUGAGCUACAGUGUAGGUUACAGAUGCAGCUCAGAUCUGGCAUUGCUGUGGUUGUGGUGUAGGGCGGCAGCCACAGCUCUGAUUUUACCCCUAGCCUGGGAACUUAUAUGCUGCAGGUGCAGCUCUAAAAAAAUUAAAAAAAAUUUUUUUAAAAAGAGUGGAGUUUUACUCCCAGCUAACAAAAGUCCAGGACUAGAUGCCUUCAAAGAUGAAUUCUACAAAACAUUUAGAGAAGAGUUAACACCUAUCUUCCUCAAAUUCCAAAAAUCUGGAGGGCAAGCAAUACUUCUGAACUCAUUCUAUGAAGCCAGCAUUACUUUGAUACCAAAUGAGAUAAAGAUAUCACAAAAAAGAAAAUUAUUGGACAAUUUCACUGAUGAACAUAGACACAAAAAUCCUCAAACAGAUAUUAGAAAACCAAAUGCCACACUAUAUUAAAAGGAUCACACACCAAGAUCAAGUGGGAUUAUACCAGGGAUGCAAUGAUGAUUCAAAAUUUGAAAAUUGAUAAAUGCAAUACACCACAUUAACGAAUGAAGAAUAUAAACCAUAUGGUCAUAUCAACAGAUGAAGAAAAAGUAACUGACAAAAAUUCAAUGCCCAUUUUUGAUAAACACUGGCAACAAAGUGGGCAUAGAGGGAACCUACCUCAACAUAACAGUAUAUGACAUACCCACAGCUAACAUCAUACUCAAUGUUGAUGAACUGAAAGCACUUCCUCUAAGAUCACCACUUUUAUUCAACACAGAAUUGGAAAUCCUAGCCUCAGCAAUCAGACAAGAAAAAGAAAUAAUAAUCAGACAAGAAAAAAUAAUCCAAAUUGGAAAGGAAAAAGUAAAAGUGUCACUCACUGUAGAUGAUAUGAUGGUAUACACAGACAAUUCUAAAAAGGCCACCAAAAUACUACUAAAACUCAUCAAUGAAUUCAGUAAAGUUGCAGAAUACAAAAUUAAUACAUAGAAAUCCAUGGUAUUUUUAUACAUUAAUGAGGAGCUAUUGGAAGGAGAAAUUGAGAAGACAAUCCAAUUUACAAUCACAUCAAAAAAUAAAAUAAAAUACCUAGGAAUAAAUCUAACUAAGGAGGUAAAAGACCUAUAUUCUGAAAACAGACACUGAUGAAAAAAAUUGAAGAAGACAAAAUCAUGGAGUUCCUGUUGUGGAGAAGCAGGAAAGAGUUCAACUAGGAACCAGGGGGUUGUGGGUCCAAUCCCUGGCCUUGCUCAGUGGGUUAAGGAUCUGGUGUUACCAUAAGCUGUGGUGGUUCAGAUCCUCCAUCACUUUGGCUGUGGUGUAGGCCAGCCAAAUAUGACCCUAGCCUGGGAAUCUUCCUAUGCUGUAGGUGUGGCCCUAAAAAGCAGAAAACCCCCAAAAAACAAAAAACAAAAACAAAAACAAAACAAAAGGAAAGAUAUGCCAUCAUCAUUGACUAGAAGAAUUAAUUUUGUUAAAAUGAUAAUACUUUCCAAGGCAAUCUAUAGAUUCAAUGCAAUCCCCAUCAACAUACCAAAGGCAUUCUUCAUAGAAUUAGGACAAAUAAUUCUAAAAUGUGUAAGGAAACACACAAGAUUCAGAAUAGCCAAAACAAUCUUAAGAAAGAAUAACAAAGCUGGAGAUAAUCCGCAAUCUUUGGUUUCAAACUAUGCUACAAAGCUAUAGUCAUCAAAACAGUAUGAUACUGGCACACACAAAAAAAGACAUUUAGAUGAAAGGGCCAGAACUGAGGGCCCAGCAAUGAACCUGCACUUACAUGGGCAAUUAACCUGCAACAAAGGAGGCAAGAAUAUACAAUGGGGAAAAGGAAGCCUCUUCAAUAAAUGGUGCUGAGAAAACUGGAAAGCUACAUGCAGAAGAAGCAAACUAGACUACUUUUUCACACCAUAUACAAAAGUAAAUUUAACUUUUUAAUCCAUUUUGAGUUUAAGACCUGAAACCAUAAAACUUCUAGAAGAAAACAUAGGCAGUAUGCUCUUUGACAUCCAUAUUAGCAAUGUUUUUUGGAUAUGUCUCCUUGGGCAAGGGGAACAAAAAGCAAAAAUAAACAAAUGGACUACAUCAAACUAAAAAGCUUUUAUGCAGUGAAGGAAACUAUCAACAAAUGAAAAGGCAGCCUACUAAAUAGGAGAAGCUAGUUGCUAUCAAUCUUUCAUAUAAGGGGCUAAUAUCCAAAAUAUAGAAAUAACUCAUACAACUCAAUAGCAAAACGAAAAACAAAUGAAUGAAGGGAUUCAGAAGACAUGGUAUACAGACACUGUGGAAUACUACUCAGCCAUAAAAAAGAACAAAAUAAUGCCAUUUGCAGCAACAUGGAUGGAACUAGAGACUCUCAUACUAAGUGAAAUGUCAGAAAAAGAAAGACAAAUACCAUAUGAUAUCACUUAUAUCUGGAAUCUAAUACAUAGCACAAAUAAAUCCUUCCACAGAAAAGAAACUCAUAAACUUGGAGAACAGAUCUGUGGCUACCAAGGGGGAGGCAGAGGGAGUGGGAUGGACUGGGAAUCUUGGGUUUAUAGAUGAAAAUAUUGCCUUUGGAGUAGAUAAGCAAUGAGAUCCUGCUGAAUAGCACUGGGAGCUAUAUCUAGUCACUUGUGAUGGAGCAUGAUGGAAGUUAAUGUGAGAAAAAGAAUGUAUAUAUAUAUGUGUGUGUGUGUGAUUGGACUGGUUUGCUGCACAGCAGAAAACUGACAGAACAUGGUAAACUACCUAUAAUGGAAAAAAUAAAAAUCAUUAAAAAAAUGUAAAGAUCUAAAUAGACAUUUUUACAAAGAAGACAUACAGAUGGCCAAGAAGUACAUGAAAAGACAUUCAAAAUCAGGAGCCAUCAGGAAAAUGAAAGUCAAAACUAUUGUUAGAUAUCAUCUCAUAUCUGUCAGAAUGGCUAUUAUCCAAAAGACAACCAGUAGCAAAUAUUGCGAGGAUGCAGAGAAAAGGGAAUGCUUAUGCACUGCUGGUGGGAAGGUAAACUGGUGCAGCCACUAUGGAAAACAGCAUGGAAUUUCCUCACAAAAUUAAAAAUAGAACUACCAUAUGAUCUAGCAAUUCCACUCCUGGGUCUUUAACCACAGAAAACAAAAAUACUAAUUCAAAAAGAUAUGCAUCCCUAGAAAGACAAAUACCAUAUGAUUUAACCUACAUGUGGAAUAAAGAAAAAAAGAAACAAAUGAAACAAACAUAACAAAAUACAAACAGACUCAUAGAUAUGGAGAGCAAACAGGUAGUUGCCAGGGUGUUGGAGGGAAGAAUUAAGAGGUAUACAAACUUUCAGUUACAUUAUAAAUGAGUCAAGGGUAUGAAAUGUACCAUGUGGGGAAUAUAGUCAAUCAUGUUAUAUCUUUGUGGAAAAAUAAAAUUUUUUUUAAAGAUAGCUAAAAACCAAACCAAAACAAACAAAAAGAGUGGAGUUUUAAAUUUAGCUAAAUUUGAGGUAGGAACUAAGGCUCCAGUCCUUUAAUGCUGGUUAACUUCCCAGUAAGAUGAUCUGAGGGUAAAGAAUCAUAUUUCAUGACCUGGAACAUAAGGAGUGACAAUAGAAUUCAUCAGUGACUGAAUAUUUACCAAAUCUAUUUCCUUUUAUUUACUAAAUCCUUAAGUAGGUAGAUGAGAGUAUCAUCAAGUUUAACAGGAUUGGAAAUUACUAAAAUAUUUCCUCAUGGCUGAUGUUUCUUGCGGACAGGCUAAAAAUACAGGAAAUAUUAUGAUAAGAUGAAAUAUUUUUUCCCUUUGCAAAACACUAAUGACACAAGAUGCAAGAAUAUUAUAGCCUGUAAGGUGUAUAAACAAAGGACUAUUUUGUUCAAGAAUACUAUGCCUAAUGCUGACCCAGACCACGGAAAAUGGUAAUUAGACAGCAGGUGUGUCCUGGAGGCAUGAGGAAUUUAAGGGAGUUGAAUAUCACACAUGAGGACAGAAAGGAAGGAUGCACUUGGUCUUUGAAUAUCACCAAUGUUUUCACCUCAAAUUCUUAUUUUAGAUAUUUUUUAAAUGCCCAUCCCUCUAAGGAAAUAUGCGAAAGAUGAGAAGAAACAC
This 5086-nucleotide long non-coding RNA is filed under the name Sus scrofa (pig). RNAcentral describes it as "lncRNA (ENSSSCG00045010974.1)". Lineage: Eukaryota; Metazoa; Chordata; Mammalia; Artiodactyla; Suidae. The record is from RNAcentral.